This 69-nucleotide transfer RNA is filed under the name Ephemerella sp. Yunnan-2018. RNAcentral's name for it is "tRNA-Lys". The record is from RNAcentral. Lineage: Eukaryota; Metazoa; Arthropoda; Insecta; Ephemeroptera; Ephemerellidae.
CACUAGAUGUCUGAAGGUAAGUAAUGGUCUCUUAAACCACUCAUAGUAAAGUCACAUCUACUUCUAGUG